This 749-nucleotide ribosomal RNA is filed under the name uncultured fungus. RNAcentral describes it as "SSU rRNA". It matches the Rfam family "Eukaryotic small subunit ribosomal RNA", at positions 226 to 979 of the family's 1831-position model. Lineage: Eukaryota; Fungi. The record is from RNAcentral.
ACAGCCUUCGGGGCUCUUGGUGAUCAUAAUAACUUAACGAAUCGCAUGGCCUUGCGCCGGCGAUGGUUCAUUCAAAUUUCUGCCCUAUCAACUUUCGAUGGUAGGAUAGUGGCCUACCAUGGUGGCAACGGGUAACGGGGAAUUAGGGUUCGAUUCCGGAGAGGGAGCCUGAGAAACGGCUACCACAUCCAAGGAAGGCAGCAGGCGCGCAAAUUACCCAAUCCCGAUACGGGGAGGUAGUGACAAUAAAUACUGAUACGGGGCUCUUUUGGGUCUCGUAAUUGGAAUGAGAACAAUUUAAAUCCCUUAACGAGGAACAAUUGGAGGGCAAGUCUGGUGCCAGCAGCCGCGGUAAUUCCAGCUCCAAUAGCGUAUAUUAAAGUUGUUGCAGUUAAAAAGCUCGUAGUUGAACCUUGGGUCUGGCUGGCCGGUCCGCCUCACCGCGAGUACUGGUCCGGCUGGACCUUUCCUUCUGGGGAACCUCAUGGCCUUCACUGGCUGUGGGGGGAACCAGGACUUUUACUGUGAAAAAAUUAGAGUGUUCAAAAGCAGGCCUUUGCUCGAAUACAUUAGCAUGGAAUAAUAAAAUAGGGACGUGCGGUUCUAUAUGGGGGGGUCUAGAGUCGGCCGUAAUGGUUAAUAGGGAUAGUUGGGGGCAUUGGGUAUUGGAGUCCGGUUAGAGGGUGGAAUUCUUGGGAUUGACUCAAGGACAAUAUUGGAAGCAUUUGCCAAGGAUGUUUCAUUAAUCA